RNAcentral lists this ribosomal RNA (1242 nucleotides) under metagenome. RNAcentral's name for it is "bacterial LSU rRNA". It matches the Rfam family "Bacterial large subunit ribosomal RNA", at positions 1564 to 2814 of the family's 2925-position model. The record is from RNAcentral.
UGAGUACGAGAUGCUACGGCAUCGAAGCAGUCUAUGUCAUACUUCCAAGAAAAGCUUGCAAUGUCAUAAACAAAUAAUGCCUGUACCAUAACCGACACAGGUGGGUAGGUAGAGUAUACUAAGGGGCGCGAGAUAACUCUCUCUAAGGAACUCGGCAAAAUGACUCCGUAACUUCGGGAGAAGGAGUGCCUUAUUUUUAUAAGGUUGCAAUAACAAGAUCCAAGCAACUGUUUACCAAAAACACAGGUCUCCGCUAAGUCGUAAGACGAUGUAUGGGGGCUGACGCCUGCCCAGUGCCAGAAGGUUAAAGAAGUUGGUUAGCAUUAGCGAAGCUGAUAACUGAAGCCCUGGUGAACGGCGGCCGUAACGAUAACGGUCCUAAGGUAGCGAAAUUCCUUGUCGGGUAAGUUCCGACCCGCACGAAAGGCGUAAUGAUUUGGAUACUGUCUCGGAGAGGGGCUCGGUGAAAUAGACUUGUCUGUGAAGAUGCGGACUACCUGCACCUGGACAGAAAGACCCUAUGAAGCUUUACUGUAACUUGAGAUUGAAAUUGGACUUUAUCUGCGCAGUAUAGGUGGGAGACGUUGAAAAUAUUCUUGCGGGAAUAUUGGAGUCAUCAGUGAGAUACCACUCUUAUAAUGUUAGAUUUCUAACUUUGUAUCAUUAUCUGGUCAAAGAACAGUUUCAGGCGGGCAGUUUGACUGGGGCGGUCGCCUCCCAAACGGUAACGGAGGCGCACAAAGGUUUCCUCUGAACGUGUAGAAAUCGUAUCUAGAGUGUAAAGGCAUAAGGAAGCUUGACUGUGAGACCUACAAGUCGAGCAGGGACGAAAGUCGGUCUUAGUGAUCUGACGGUGCUGAGUGGAAAGGCCGUCACUCAACGGAUAAAAGUUACUCUAGGAUAACAGGCUGAUCUCCCCCAAGAGUUCACAUCGACGGGGAGGUUUGGCACCUCGAUGUCGGCUCAUCGCAUCCUGGGGCGGUAGUACGUCCCAAGGGUUGGGCUGUUCGCCCAUGAAAGCGGUACGCGAGCUGGGUUCAGAACGUCGUGAGACAGUUCGGUCCAUAUCCGGUGUAGGCGUUAGAAUAUUGAGAGGAGCCUUCUUUAGUACGAGAGGACCGAGAAGGACAUACCUCUGGUGUACCAGUUAUCGUGCCAACGGUAAACGCUGGGUAGCCAUGUAUGGAGAGGAUAACCGCUGAAAGCAUCUAAGUGGGAAGCCCACCUCAAGAUAAGUAUUCC